Molecule: long non-coding RNA, 610 nt
Filed under: Scleropages formosus (Asian bonytongue)
Lineage: Eukaryota; Metazoa; Chordata; Actinopteri; Osteoglossiformes; Osteoglossidae
Description: lncRNA (ENSSFOG00015024429.1)
Source: RNAcentral
AAUCUUUUGACAAAACAAUUCUGAAGUGGGAAACAACCAUCUUAAAGACUACUGUGAUAUGUUCUGGAUUCAGAAUCUUUAACAUGUUCAACCUCUGUGCCUCAGGUAAGCAAGACAACCUGCUGACCACAGAUUUUCCAGAUUUAUCCCUGCAGCCUCAUUUGAGACACAGAGGGCAUCGUAUUGCUGAAAAACACAGGUGCAAGAGUCAGCUUAUCACUUACAGAUCUUACCCGCAAUGUACGGUUAAAGCAAUUAAAAUGUGUACUCUGUGUCUCACACAGCAACGAAGCUGAUCGUUGCACAACCAGCUUUGAUGCAGUGGCCAGAAUAAGGGGGGACAUGUUUUUCUUUAAAGAUCUUAAUAUGUGGAGGGUGAGUAGUGGAGGGCUGGUAUCAGAGAAGGCAGCCUCUAUUCGGCGCAUGUGGGGAGGCCUUCCCCCUAACCUGUCUCCUCUUCAGGCGGUGUUUGAGAGACGCUCAGAUCACACAAUAGUCUUCAUCACCGGGUCCCAGUUCUGGUUUUUUAAUGACCUUGCUCUCCAAGAAGGGUAUCCACAACCACUUCAUGUCCUAGGGGUUAGAGGAGGAGAGCAAGGGCUGGUGUGGG